This 235-nucleotide long non-coding RNA is filed under the name Lathyrus oleraceus (garden pea). RNAcentral's name for it is "Pisum sativum (pea) long non-coding RNA (PSAT_LNC017025)". Lineage: Eukaryota; Viridiplantae; Streptophyta; Magnoliopsida; Fabales; Fabaceae. The record is from RNAcentral.
UAUCAUUCUUCUUUAGCUUUAUAAUUUGGCUUUUAGAGAAAAAAAACUAAUCAUUACACUUUUUUUCAUAAAUAACAAAUCACUCUUCUUAUCCUUUCACAAACUCAAUUAAUAAUAUUCAAGCAUGCCAUAUUUAUAUUUGUAUUUCUUCAUUCAUUCAACAAAGUCAAAUUAUAUCCUAAUAUCCAAAUUAAGAGCUCUUAUAUCACUUGAAUGAAAAAUUAACACAUAAACA